This 130-nucleotide small RNA is filed under the name Proteus penneri. Lineage: Bacteria; Pseudomonadati; Pseudomonadota; Gammaproteobacteria; Enterobacterales; Morganellaceae. The record is from RNAcentral.
AAAUAAAAAAAGCCAGAUAAAUCAUUUAUCUGGCUUAGGGAAAUGGCUCAUUUUGAGCCGUGCGCUAAAAAGUAAAAUGUUGCUUACGGCAUAAACAAAAAUCGAGAACUCACUCAGACUUUCUCAGACU